CGCCCCCUAUACGUCAUCAUUGAGUAAACUUUGACCCGGAACCUCACAGUCAACAGACACUUCCUGGGAGGGAGGGUCUGCUGCUGAUUGGGUGGAAUGUGUCUGCUGGCUGUGAGGUUCCGGGUCAAAGUUUACUCAAUGAUGACGUAUAGGGGGCG
This 158-nucleotide microRNA precursor is filed under the name Pelobates cultripes (western spadefoot toad). The record is from RNAcentral. Lineage: Eukaryota; Metazoa; Chordata; Amphibia; Anura; Pelobatidae.